RNAcentral lists this transfer RNA (87 nucleotides) under Tissierellia bacterium. RNAcentral's name for it is "tRNA-Leu". It matches the Rfam family "tRNA". Rfam says of the family: Transfer RNA (tRNA) molecules are approximately 80 nucleotides in length. Their secondary structure includes four short double-helical elements and three loops (D, anti-codon, and T loops). Further hydrogen bonds mediate the characteristic L-shaped molecular structure. tRNAs have two regions of fundamental functional importance: the anti-codon, which is responsible for specific mRNA codon recognition, and the 3' end, to which the tRNAs corresponding amino acid is attached (by aminoacyl-tRNA synthetases). tRNAs cope with the degeneracy of the genetic code in two manners: having more than one tRNA (with a specific anti-codon) for a particular amino acid; and 'wobble' base-pairing, i.e. permitting non-standard base-pairing at the 3rd anti-codon position. The record is from RNAcentral. Lineage: Bacteria; Bacillati; Bacillota; Tissierellia.
GCGGGAGUGGCGGAAUUGGUAGACGCGCUAGAUUCAGGUUCUAGUGUUUGCAAAAACGUGGAGGUUCGAGUCCUCUCUUCCGCACCA